UACGGAGGGGGCUAGCGUUGUUCGGAAUUACUGGGCGUAAAGCGCACGUAGGCGGCUUUGUAAGUUAGAGGUGAAAGCCCAGGGCUUAACCCUGGAAUUGCCUUUAAGACUGCAUCGCUAGAAUCGUGGAGAGGUGAGUGGAAUUCCGAGUGUAGAGGUGAAAUUCGUAGAUAUUCGGAAGAACACCAGUGGCGAAGGCGACUCACUGGACACGUAUUGACGCUGAGGUGCGAAAGCGUGGGGAGCAAACAGGGAU
RNAcentral lists this ribosomal RNA (256 nucleotides) under uncultured bacterium. RNAcentral describes it as "partial 16S ribosomal RNA". It matches the Rfam family "Bacterial small subunit ribosomal RNA", at positions 524 to 779 of the family's 1533-position model. The record is from RNAcentral.